AUACUUACCUGGCAGGGGAGAUGCCAUGAUCACGAAGGUGUUUUCCCAGGGCGAGGCUCACCCAUUGCACUCUGGAUGUGCUGACCCCUGCGAUUUCCCCAAAUGUGGGAAACGCGACUGCAUAAUUUGUGGUUGUGGGGGACUGCGUUUGCGCUGUCUCCUG
RNAcentral lists this small nuclear RNA (163 nucleotides) under Echinops telfairi (small Madagascar hedgehog). RNAcentral's name for it is "U1 spliceosomal RNA (ENSETEG00000021239.1)". It matches the Rfam family "U1 spliceosomal RNA". From Rfam's summary of the family: U1 is a small nuclear RNA (snRNA) component of the spliceosome (involved in pre-mRNA splicing). Its 5' end forms complementary base pairs with the 5' splice junction, thus defining the 5' donor site of an intron. There are significant differences in sequence and secondary structure between metazoan and yeast U1 snRNAs, the latter being much longer (568 nucleotides as compared to 164 nucleotides in human). The record is from RNAcentral. Lineage: Eukaryota; Metazoa; Chordata; Mammalia; Afrosoricida; Tenrecidae.